Molecule: ribosomal RNA, 253 nt
Filed under: uncultured prokaryote
Description: partial 16S ribosomal RNA
Rfam family: Bacterial small subunit ribosomal RNA
Source: RNAcentral
UACGUAGGGUGCAGGCGUUAAUCGGAAUUACUGGGCGUAAAGCGUGCGCAGGCGGUCUCUUAAGACAGGUGUGAAAUCCCCGGGCUUAACCUGGGAACUGCGCUUGUAACUGGCAAGCUAGAGUGUGGCAGAGGGGGGUGGAAUUCCACGUGUAGCAGUGAAAUGCGUUGAUAUUAUGGGGAACACCAAAAGCGAAGGCAGCAGACUGGAGCACUCCUGACACUGAAACAUGAAAGCGUGGGUCGCGAAUGGG